AGCCCCGUGAGUACCGCCCUACAGCAUUCUUCGCCCGAAGCACAGGAGCUGGCAUCAGGCACACCCCAGGUAGCCCAAGACGCCCCGCGCUAUGCCACACCCCCAAGGGUUAUGUACAGCAGUGAUAAACAUUUAGCAAUGAGUGCAAGCUCGACUAAAACAAGGUCUACAGGGCCGGUCAAAACUCGUGCCAGCCACCGCGGUUAUACGAGUGAGCCCAAGUUGAUAGACACUCGGCGUAAAGGGUGGUUAGGAUCAAAUUAUAAAGUGAAGCCAAAAACCAUUGUAGCCGUCAAACGCAAACAAAUGCAUGAAGCCCAUACACGAAAGUAGCUUUACAACUUCUGACACCACGAAAUUUAGGGAACAAACUGGGAUUAGAUACCCCACUAUGCCUAAACGUAAACAAUGGCGAUAUAAAACAAAUCGCCCGCCAGGGAACUACGAGCGGGAGCUUAAAACCCAAAGGACUUGGCGGUGCUUUAACCCCCCUAGAGGAGCCUGUCCUAGAACCGAUAACCCCCGUUCAACCUCACCCUUCCUAGCCCAUUCAGCCUGUAUACCGCCGUCGCCAGCCCUCCCCUUGAGGGACGAAUAGUCAGCAAACCCGGUACUACCCGAGACGUCAGGUCGAGGUGCAGCCUAUGGAAGGGAAUGAGAUGGGCUACAUUCACUUCAUAAGUGAACACGGAUGAUGCGCUGAAACACGCAUACUGAAGGUGGAUUUAGUAGUAAGUACAGAAUAGAGAGCUGUACUGAAUAUGGCUCAAAAGCACGCACACACCGCCCGUCACUCUCCCCGAAAAACCAAAAAAACAUACCUAAAUAUAUACCGAAGACCCGAAGGGGAGACAAGUCGUAACAAGGUAAGUGUACUGGAAAGUGCACUUGGAACAACCA
Molecule: non-coding RNA, 900 nt
Filed under: Fowlerichthys scriptissimus (calico frogfish)
Lineage: Eukaryota; Metazoa; Chordata; Actinopteri; Lophiiformes; Antennariidae
Description: partial 12S ribosomal RNA
Rfam family: Bacterial small subunit ribosomal RNA
Source: RNAcentral